Molecule: ribosomal RNA, 469 nt
Filed under: uncultured Methanomicrobiales archaeon
Lineage: Archaea; Methanobacteriati; Methanobacteriota; Methanomicrobia; Methanomicrobiales
Description: bacterial SSU rRNA
Rfam family: Archaeal small subunit ribosomal RNA
Source: RNAcentral
CGGGGAGCACCACAACAGGUGGAGCCUGCGGUUUAAUCGGACUCAACGCCGGGAAACUCACCAGAUAAGACAGCUGAAUGAUAGUCGGGCUGAAGACUCUACUUGACUAGCUGAGAGGAGGUGCAUGGCCGUCGUCAGUUCGUACUGUGAAGCAUCCUGUUAAGUCAGGCAACGAGCGAGACCCACGCCAACAGUUGCCAGCUCGUCCUCCGGGAUGGUGGGGACACUGUUGGGACCGCCUCUGCUAAGGAGGAGGAAGGAAUGGGCAACGGUAGGUCAGCAUGCCCCGAAUUAUCUGGGCUACACGCGGGCUACAAUGGGUGGGACAAUGGGUAUCGACACCGAAAGGUGAAGGCAAUCUCCUAAACCCAUCCGUAGUUCGGAUUGUGGGCUGCAACUCGCCCACAUGAAGCUGGAAUCUGUAGUAAUCGUGUCUCAAAAUGGCACGGUGAAUAUGUCCCUGCUCCUU